RNAcentral lists this ribosomal RNA (206 nucleotides) under uncultured bacterium. Its description in RNAcentral is "partial 16S ribosomal RNA". It matches the Rfam family "Bacterial small subunit ribosomal RNA", at positions 524 to 729 of the family's 1533-position model. The record is from RNAcentral.
UACAGAGGGUGCAAGCGUUGUUCGGAAUUAUUGGGCGUAAAGCGCGCGUAGGCGCCCGGUAAGUCCGCUCUGAAAGUCCAGGGCUCAACCCUGGAAAGCGGGUGGAUACUGCCGGGCUAGAAUCCGGAAGAGGCGAGUGGAAUUCCUGGUGUAGCGGUGGAAAUGCGCAGAUAUCAGGAGGAACACCAGUAGCGAAGGCGGCUCGU